Molecule: ribosomal RNA, 414 nt
Filed under: uncultured microorganism
Description: bacterial SSU rRNA
Rfam family: Archaeal small subunit ribosomal RNA
Source: RNAcentral
CAGCAGCCGCGGUAAUACCGGCGGCCCGAGUGGCGGUCACUCUUAUUGGGCUUAAAGCGUCCGUAGCCGGGUUGGGAAGUCCUCCGGGAAAUCUGGCCGCUUAACGGUCAGAAUGCCGGAGGAUACUCCCAGCCUAGGGAGCGGGAGAGGCCGAGGGUAUUCCCGGAGUAGGGGGGAAAUCCUAUAAUCCCGGGAGGACCACCUGUGGCGAAGGCGCUCGGCUGGAACGCGUCCGACGGUGAGGGACGAAGGCCAGGGGAGCAAACCGGAUUAGAUACCCGGGUAGUCCUGGCUGUAAACGAUGCGGACUUUGUGUCGGACAAGCUAUGAGCUUGUCCGGUGCCGGAGGGAAACCGUUAAGUCCGCCGCCUGGGGAGUACGGCCGCAAGGCUGAAACUUAAAGGAAUUGGCGGG